CCUACGGGUGGCAGCAGUGGGGAAUAUUGCGCAAUGGGCGAAAGCCUGACGCAGCGACGCCGCGUGAGGGAUGAAGGCCUUCGGGUUGUAAACCUCUUUCAGCAGGGAAGCGGUACCUGCAGAAGAAGCACCGGCUAACUACGUGCCAGCAGCCGCGGUAAUACGUAGGGUGCAAGCGUUGUCCGGAAUUAUUGGGCGUAAAGAGCUCGUAGGCGGUUUGUCGCGUCUGCUGUGAAAACUCGGGGCUCAACCCCGAGCUUGCAGUGGGUACGGGCAGACUAGAGUGCGGUAGGGGAGACUGGAAUUCCUGGUGUAGCGGUGGAAUGCGCAGAUAUCAGGAGGAACACCGGUGGCGAAGGCGGGUCUCUGGGCCGUACUGACGCUGAGGAGCGAAAGCAUGGGGAGCGAACAGGAUUAGAUACCCUUGUAGUC
Molecule: ribosomal RNA, 432 nt
Filed under: uncultured bacterium
Lineage: Bacteria
Description: partial 16S ribosomal RNA
Rfam family: Bacterial small subunit ribosomal RNA
Source: RNAcentral